RNAcentral lists this transfer RNA (69 nucleotides) under Phlaeoba antennata. Its description in RNAcentral is "tRNA-Gln". It matches the Rfam family "tRNA". From Rfam's summary of the family: Transfer RNA (tRNA) molecules are approximately 80 nucleotides in length. Their secondary structure includes four short double-helical elements and three loops (D, anti-codon, and T loops). Lineage: Eukaryota; Metazoa; Arthropoda; Insecta; Orthoptera; Acrididae. The record is from RNAcentral.
UACAUUAAAGUGUAAGAUGCACAUCAGUUUUUGAUUCUGAGGGCUUUAGUUUAAUUCUAUUUAAUGUAA